This is a long non-coding RNA of Amphiprion ocellaris (clown anemonefish), 1467 nucleotides long. RefSeq lists it as uncharacterized. The record is from RefSeq and is a predicted model, not a curated record. The transcript has 3 exons. Lineage: Eukaryota; Metazoa; Chordata; Actinopteri; Pomacentridae.
CUCUAAAAGAUGCUGCUGUUGAAUUGUAUUUAUAUUUACAUUUUAUUCACACUAACAUGUUUUUAUUGUAUGAGCUCUUCUAUUUCUCCCUUAACUAAAUAUAUAUAAACAUAUACGCUAGUGAUGGGACGAACAACACUGGUGCGUCAGCACUGUGCCGAGCACACAAGAGUGAAACCCCGUAUUGGUGCGUGUAUCGCUUUAAGAAAAAAUCAUGUGACCGAUACAGAAAGUGUGUCGAUUGGAUGUGCUGCGCCAAAUUGUGUUUAAAAGGAAACAAACUGUAUUGACAUGUAUUGUUGCUGUGUCUGUUUGACCUCACCUUGUUCAACUUCUGACUUCAUGGAUCGUUCCAAUAAGAAGAAGUUUUCCCCAGUCUGGAAUCAUUUUGAUCUUUUGACGGCAAAUAAGGUGAAGUGUCGGCUCUGCUCCACAGAGCUAUCUUACAUCAAUAAGAGCACUUCAUCAAUGCUGAGGCAUUAUAGAGCUCAGCAUGGCAAUGAAGAAUUGGCAGAUACUCGUGUGAGUACCCCAGUUCCUAACAAGCAAGCAGUGGAUGAGGCUGUGGUCAACAUGAUCAUCAAAGACUGAAAACACAUAUUUUUUGUGUUUGUAUAUUUCUGUUGCAGUUUGUCAUGUGAUAAUAAACUAACAACUAACAAAGAAUUAUUUCUAAAAUAUUUGUUAGGGCACAAUCUCUGGAAACCUCUGGAUAUGGAGGUUGAGGAGAACAACUCGACCUCGAAUACUACAGCUGGUUCCACAGUUGAAGUCCAACGCUACCUGGCUGAAACCAACACACCCAGAGCACAAGAUCCGUUACAAUAUUGGAAAAAUAACCAGAAAACAUAUCCACACCUGUAUCAACUUGCACUUAAAUUUUUAUGCACACCAUCCUCAUCUGUACCCUGUGAGAGAGUUUUUUCUAAGGCAGGGGAACUGAUGUCCAAGAAGAGAAAUCGCCUUGGAGCAAAGACACUACAAAAACUUUUGUUCCUCAAUAAAAGUGUAUGAAUGAAUCCAUUUUUAGUCUGUUAUUUCGUAUGAUUGAACACUUAAGUUAAAAAAAUUCCAUACAUAAGUUAAAAAUUGGAACUCUGAAUUUUAUUGUAGACAAAUUUGCUAUAUUUUACAUACCAACUCAUUUUAGCAUUUACACAAACAAAGCAAAUUUAAAACUCUUCUCAUAGACAACUUCAACUCAGCAAACAAAUUGAGCAAAUGAAAUUAAACAAUGAUGAGAUCAUAUUUUCAGUAAAAGACUAGCAAUUAAAUAAAGAUUAAAUAUUAUUUCACAGGCUGAUGUUGGGUUUGCAGCAUGUAAGCUUUUCCAUCUUAUUUUAUUUAUUUUUUUUACCUGCAAUGAUUUUAGAUCUACUGCAGAGGUCACUAUUGAGUGACCAACACAGUGUCAAUACAGUGCCAACACAGUUUGGGUAGUGUGUCAAUACACUCCUUGAGGCAUCA